Molecule: long non-coding RNA, 1282 nt
Organism: Anguilla anguilla (European eel)
Lineage: Eukaryota; Metazoa; Chordata; Actinopteri; Anguilliformes; Anguillidae
Exons: 2
Source: RefSeq, a predicted model, not a curated record
GUGUUAAAACACCCUUUAUAGUAGUCCGUUCGAACUACGUUCAAAAGCUGAAGACUGGAUUCGAGCCGAGACACCGUGUAUAUUUACGAGAUGUUUAUAUUUCAGCAGGAAAGUCAAGAUGAAAAACGAAUUACAAAAGACAUCAGAGACACAGCUACGCCAUGCAACAGACAGAAGGAAGGAACUGCUGAUCAACCCACAAGCUUCUGGCUGACCUAGACAGGUCCCUGAAAAAGGGCUAUCCAAGAGGCAGUGCCUGGAAGAGCCUAUCCAACAGUGACGGGGGCUCUCCGGCGGAUGAGAGAUGAGGACGCUUCCACCGAGACCUGCAUGGACUCCUGGGAAACCCACAAGAAGGUUCUUUUUUUAUGUGUUAUUUUGAACGGGACACUUAAAUUCCAAACAAUGAAUGGAUUCAUGGUUUCUUGAUGAAUUUGUCCGUGACGCAUUGAUUUUUGUUGACAGCUUUUAUUAAGUAACCGUUCUGUUUACAGUAAUUAAGGAAUUCCAAAUUAUAAUAAUCAUUACCCCUCUCCUUAAUACAUAAAAUACAAAAUAUAAAAAAUAGCAUAAUACAAAAAAAGAACUUUAGCAGAGAGCUUCAUUUUAAUGACUGAAAUUGAAAAUUGUCAGGAAGUAAUACCUUAAGGUAGUUACAUAAUUAACUUUGUGAGAGAUAAUGUGGAAUUUCCAUUUGAGUAAAAGAGGUGUUUUUUCCAGUUUUGUCCAAUUUAAAUACUAAAUAAUACACCAGUAUUUUUGUUUUCUAAUUCCAUUUACCAACCAUAUAUGCUGACAGGAAGUCAGCAGGUUUUUGAUAAAGAGACAGUGGUCCGUUGCAAAAUAUCCUAUUGGAUCAGCAUUAUUUAAACCAUAGGUUCUCCAUAAUACAGUGUAAUCAUUUUCGGUGUGGUUGGAAAGCUGAUGUCAUGGGGUACAAGUUGGUGUCUUUUGUGCAGUAUAGUGGGUGCAGACUAAAGAUGUUGAUACAUAUGGAUCAGCGCCCAGCUGCUCUACAAAAUUUAACCCGGUGUGAUAUGCUUACAGAUAGCACAAGCAGGACCAUUAAUGUACUGUUUCGUUAUGUAUUGUAUCUUUAUUUGAUGACUUGGGGUUUUUCUUUGAUCCGUGAGUAUAUAAGGGGAAAAGUGGAAUGGUUCUGGGAGACUUGUCAAUACUGCGUAGUGCAUACCAUUCGCUUACAGCCAUUCCACUACACACUCUGCACCAUUGUAUGUUGCCAUCAUUGAACAUACUGUACAAUAAAUUGCAUUCACUUUAA